RNAcentral lists this ribosomal RNA (398 nucleotides) under uncultured bacterium. Its description in RNAcentral is "bacterial SSU rRNA". It matches the Rfam family "Bacterial small subunit ribosomal RNA", at positions 28 to 420 of the family's 1533-position model. The record is from RNAcentral.
GACGAACGCUGGCGGCGUGCCUAACACAUGCAAGUGGAGCGACGAACCAGGCUUCGGCCUGGGGCAAGGCCGCGAACGGGUGAGUAACACGUGGGUAACCUGCCCUGAUGAUUGGGACAACCCGAGGAAACUCGGGCUAAUACCGAAUGUGCCCUCCGGCCUCAAGGCCGCUGGGGAAAGGAAGCUUCGGCCUCCGCAUCGGGAUGGGCCCGGGGCCCAUUAGCUUGUUGGUGAGGUAACGGCUCACCAAGGCGACGAUGGGUAGCUGGUCUGAGAGGACGAUCAGCCACACUGGGACUGAGACACGGCCCAGACUCCUACGGGAGGCAGCAGUGGGGAAUCUUGCGCAAUGCGCGAAAGCGUGACGCAGCAACGCCGCGUGGGGAAGAAGGCCUCGG